Molecule: unclassified non-coding RNA, 292 nt
Filed under: uncultured fungus
Lineage: Eukaryota; Fungi
Description: sequence contains ITS1
Source: RNAcentral
GGACUACUCGGGUUUCUAAUCCUGUUCGCUCCCCACGCUUUCGCUCCUCAGCGUCAGUUACGGCCCAGAGAUGUGCCUUCGCCAUUGGUGUUCCUCCUGAUAUCUGCGCAUUCCACCGCUACACCAGGAAUUCCCAUCUCCCCUACCGCACUCUAGCCUGCCCGUACCCACUGCAAGUCCGAGGUUGAGCCUCGGAAUUUCACAGCAGACGUGACAAACCGCCUACGAGCUCUUUACGCCCAAUAAUUCCGGACAACGCUUGCACCCUACGUAUUACCGCGGCUGCUGGCAC